Molecule: ribosomal RNA, 560 nt
Filed under: Cutibacterium acnes
Lineage: Bacteria; Bacillati; Actinomycetota; Actinomycetes; Propionibacteriales; Propionibacteriaceae
Description: bacterial SSU rRNA
Rfam family: Bacterial small subunit ribosomal RNA
Source: RNAcentral
GGCCUGCUUUUGUGGGUCCUGGAUGAGUGGCGAACGGGUGAGUAACACGUGAGUAACCUGCCCCCUUCUUCUGGAUAACCGCAUGAAAGUGUGGCUAAUACGGGAUAUUCUGGGUCUGUCGCAUGGUGGGCCUGGGAAAGAUUGCGCCUUUUUUGGUGUUUUUGGUGGGGGAUGGGCUCGCGGCCUAUCAGCUUGUUGGUGGGGUGAUGGCCUACCAAGGCGGUGACGGGUAGCCGGCCUGAGAGGGUGGACGGUCACACUGGGACUGAGACACGGCCCAGACUCCUACGGGAGGCAGCAGUGGGGAAUAUUGCACAAUGGGCGCAAGCCUGAUGCAGCGACGCCGCGUGAGGGAUGGAGGCCUUCGGGUUGUGAACCUCUUUCGCCAGUGAAGCAGGCCUGCCUCGUUUGUGGGUGGGUUGACGGUAGCUGGAUAAGAAGCGCCGGCUAACUACGUGCCAGCAGCCGCGGUAAUACGUAGGGCGCGAGCGUUGUCCGGAAUUAUUGGGCGUAAAGAGCUCGUAGGCGGCUGGUCGCGUCUGUCGUGAAAUCCUCUGGCU